UAUACAAUGUAUAUACCCUGUUCAAGCAGCCCGAAAACAGGGGAGAAAAUAGAAAUUAAUACAAGUUGAAAAAAAAACUCCAAAUUCUUCAAAGACUCCCCAUACCCCGUGUGAUCCCACUCCACCCAAAGCUCCAAGUAGCCAUCCCUGUGCCUCAGGUCAAUAUGCAAGACAAGGUAUUUGAUGAGGAUAAUUCAAGCGUGAGAGAAAGUUCCAACGAUAGGCCGAUGAGAAAGAAGGAAGCAAUCAGAAGUAGAGAGAAAAAUGUUCAGUCCAUACACUCCGUGGAAGAGAAUUACCUCCACAGCUGCUUCGCUCAUACUGGAGGGUUUUGUAGGCUUUAUUCAGUAUUGUUAGUGGAAGCAAUUGGACUUGCUCAGUGAUUUUGCUGAAGGAGCUUACAACAGAUACACAUUGCAUCAACAGUCAACACAAGGAAAGGGACUCUAUAUUCUUGAGACUCUUUGAUGUUUGAAGUUUCUAAGCAAGCAAAAUUUUAAAAGAGAAGGA
Long non-coding RNA from Quercus lobata, 510 nucleotides. RefSeq lists it as uncharacterized. NCBI's taxonomy places the organism in Eukaryota, Viridiplantae, Streptophyta, Magnoliopsida, Fagales, Fagaceae. The transcript is spliced from 7 exons. The record is from RefSeq and is a predicted model, not a curated record.